UUACUUCUUACUUCUUACUUCUUACUUCUUACUUCUUACUUCUUACUUCUUACUUCUUACUUCUUACUUCUUACUUCUUACUUCUUACUUCUUACUUCUUACUUCUUACUUCUUACUUCUUACUUCUUACUUCUUACUUCUUACUUCUUCCUUUUACUUCUUACUUCUUACUUCUUAUAAAAUCACCGUUCAAUUUCAGGGAACACACAAAAAAUCUUUGUGGCGUUCAAAAAACUGAUCUUGAGAAGCAACGUUAUGAUGGUAAAGGUAAGGUAAGUUCGAUAUUAGGAAGAGUUUAGCGAACUCAAUCUAGUCGAAUUUGAAUGGUUGAUUCCAUAUUAAAAUACAAAAUGAAUUUUUCAAUUUUUCAUCACUGCUAUUUUGCCCACCAUCUUGAAUUUAAAAAUUCUGACAAAAACACAACAAAAAAAGUAUGAAAAAUAUGUCUUUCUAUUUGUUGAAAAGGAAUUUUUUGCAAUUCCGUCGUGAAACUAUUUACUUUUCCUGUCAUUCUUGAACGACGAAAUAGCCUACUUUUCUGUACCAAAAAUAACAGAAUCGAAUAUCAACACUUUUCAAAAGAAAUGCUGAAAAGUUCUACUCGGUGAACCUCGUUGGAUAAAUGUACGACUCAUGCUGAAAAAAUCCUCUUUUUGCAACUUGUUGCAUAAACUACUAUUGUCUAUACACCCAAAGUUAAAGAACGAGGGGAUAGUACACACGAAAAGAAACGAGAGGAAAGUGCUAUUUUGCGAGAGUAUAGUCCUCUCGCGUGUUCAUUCGUUCAUUGGAACAGUUCAUCCUAUUGAGUGGCUUAUAUGGACACAUGACCGCCACUUAGUCACCGAAUCGUGGUGGCCCAUACGGCAAAGGCACGGUUCAAUAUGCCGAAGGUCUUGGGUUCGAGUCUCGGUACCGGUACUUUUUUUGAUAGAUGAACUUUUUUUGAAGAUGAACCCAUGAGUAAAGUACUCUCGGUAAUUUCGGGUUUUAUCCUCUCAGUUCGCACACAGUACCAUUUUACUACCGAAUCGUGCUCUUUAUUCUUUCGUAUGCCGAUGCCCAGUUCUGGGUGUAGGAUAAUCAAGUCUAGACUGUAUUUGUUUUCAAAAUCGAUUUCUUUUUAAAUUGCUGAACCAUUUCCUGAAGUUUACUUUUUUUUUGCCUUUCUUGCUGAAAAAAGGUAUAGGGUUUAACUCUUUGUGUAAAAACUGAAGCAUUUCAAUUUUGAAUUGGUAACAAAAAAUCUCUGCACACUAAAAAAAAUUAAUAUUACAUUAGACGUAAUUCUUGAUUAAACCGAUGAUAACAACAUGUAAUCGUAUUUUCGAUGUAAAUUUAGGUUUAUUUUGGCGUAAAUCGAUAAAAUUCUCACUGGUUUUCAUUUACAUCGUGCGUAACCUAAAAUUGCAUCUCAAAUAACCUGAUUUUACGCUAAAUAUGAUGCACAUAACUGGAGCAUCACAUUUAAUGUAAUUUUACAUCAAAUGAAACCCAAUUUUACGCACGUCAGCAGCUACACGAUUGUCAGAAUUGUUAAACGUCAAACCGUCAGCCAGCUUCGACGUCGCAGAGAAUAGCAUUUUUCAUCCAGAUUCCGUUAUUUUUUUCGUUUACUGGCCGGAACCUGCUACCGUUUUAGAGAAAACCAGUCAAUUCUCUGAUAGAGGUUGCGGACGGACAUCAUGGAACGCGAGGAAAAACACGUUUUAA
Culex pipiens pallens (northern house mosquito) is the source of this 1713-nucleotide long non-coding RNA. RefSeq lists it as uncharacterized. The record is from RefSeq and is a predicted model, not a curated record. The transcript is spliced from 2 exons. NCBI's taxonomy places the organism in Eukaryota, Metazoa, Arthropoda, Insecta, Diptera, Culicidae.